CGGGACAGGUAGAGGGCAGGUUGGGGACAGGUAGAGGGCAGGUAGAAGGCAGGUUGAGGACAGGUAGAGGGCAGGUUGAGGACAGGUAGAGGGCAGGUUGAGGACAGGUAGAGGGCAGGUUGAGGACAGGUAGAGGGCAGGUAGAGGGCAGGUAGAGGACAGGUUGAGGACAGGUAGAGGGCAGGUUGGGGACAGGUAGAGGACAGGUAGAGGGCAGGUAGAGGGCAGGUUGAGGACAGGUAGAGGGCAGGUUGAGGACAGGUAGAGGGCAGGUAGAGGACAGGUAGAGGGCAGGUAGAGGACAGGUAGAGGGCAGGUUGAGGACAGGUAGAGGGCAGGUUGGGGACAGGUAGAGGGCAGGUUGAGGACAGGUAGAAGGCAGGUAGAGGACAGGUAGAGGGCAGGUAGAGGACAGGUAGAGGGCAGGUUGGGGAUAGGUAGAGGGCAGGUUGAGGACAGGUAGAAGGCAGGUAGAGGACAGGUUGAGAACAGGUAGAGGGCAGGUUGAGGACAGGUAGAGUGCAGGUUGAGGACAGGUAGAGGGCAGGUAGAGGACAGGUAGAGGGCAGGUUGGGUACAGGUAGAGGGCAGGUAGAGGACAGGUAGAGGGCAGGUAGAGGGCAGGUAGAAGGCAGGUAGAGGGCAGGUUAGGGACAGAUAGAGGGCAGGUUGAGAAUAGGUAGGGUGCAGGUUGAGGACAGGUAGAGGUUCAUUAUCAGGUCAGAGCCAGGCAGGUACAGGGCUGCAGGCAGGCUUGGAGUCAGGGCAGGUAGAGGUUCGUUAUCAGGUCAGAGUCAGGC
Long non-coding RNA from Oncorhynchus tshawytscha (Chinook salmon), 800 nucleotides. The record is from Ensembl. Lineage: Eukaryota; Metazoa; Chordata; Actinopteri; Salmoniformes; Salmonidae.